UACAUUUUAGUAUAUGGUGUACAAAAAUUUUUGAUAUUUUAAGAAUUAGUUUAAUUCUAAUAAAUGUAA
Molecule: transfer RNA, 69 nt
Filed under: Curculionoidea sp. 31 KM-2017
Lineage: Eukaryota; Metazoa; Arthropoda; Insecta; Coleoptera
Description: tRNA-Gln
Source: RNAcentral